RNAcentral lists this long non-coding RNA (1333 nucleotides) under Gallus gallus (chicken). RNAcentral's name for it is "lncRNA (ENSGALG00010027640.1)". The record is from RNAcentral. Lineage: Eukaryota; Metazoa; Chordata; Aves; Galliformes; Phasianidae.
CCCGGAGCUGCCCGAGCCGGACCGGGCCGGGCCGGGGCCGCCGCACAGCGCAGCGAGGAGCUCUCCCCGCUAAGUGCCAUUUGCGUUUGGCUGCCUCGCACCGCCCGUCUCUCUUCUCUUCUUUCCUUCCCCCCUUCCUCCCCCUUUUGUCUCUCUUCUAUUUCUCUUUUUGCCCUCUUUCCCCCAUUCUCCCCCCCCCCCCCCCUUUUUUUCCCUCCGCAUCCCAUCUCUCAUAGUUCUGGGUCCAGCAGCUCUCGCCGAUCCGAAGUUGUUUUGCUCCGACAAGCACCUAGAGGUUAAUUUCUUGAAGUGCCCCAUGAAAAGCGAUUAGCCUGGCUCCCGAGAAGUAUUUUCUAAUUACGUGCAAGCCCUCGCUCUGCUGCUACCCCAUAAUUAAACCUCUUCAAGUCACCACGCGCGGGGCAGCACCUCAGGUAUGCGAGGGGCGGCGGAGGGCGAAGGGCUGAGCUGACGCCGAACCGAGGAGACAGGGAUGAUCUUUAUUUAUUGUUAUUAUUAUUUUAAUGAUUUUUUUUUUCUCCCCCUCCCCGGGGUUAUUUUUAUCUCCCUCUCUCCCAAAGGGUUCCAGCACCGCUUUUUCUCGCCGGGCUGCGGGAGCUCCGCCAGCGGCUGCCCGGCGCGCAGGGCUUUAUCCUGGGGAGAAAAUCACUGCGGGGCACUGGGAGAGGCGCUUUAAGAACAGGGGUUGGGGCCGCCCGUUCCCGGUCCCCGUUCUCCUCGCAGUUCAACCCCGUAUAUUCUAACGGGGCUCACGUAGGGGUCACCCCUUUAAAGAAAUCCUUUUCUUCCCUUCCUGCUCCCCGUUUCCUCCCUCUGACAUCCGGUGUUGGGGGCUGAGGGCUGAGGGCUGAGGACAGGGCACAGCGCGCCGCCUCCCGUCCCCUCGGCCGCCCGAGGUCCCCACUGAAAUUCGGGGUGGGCGAAGCGACCGCAGCCCCCUCGGAACCCCGGCAGCUUUCCUGGGAGCGGCGGCGGCGGGCAGAGCCCGGCCUCUCGGCUGCCCUUCCCCUCCGCAGCCGGGUUUUCACCGUAUUAUCGACAAUUAAAAAUAGAUUUUUAUUAUUGUUGUUGUUGAAAAUCACCACAUCUGUCAGGUUGCUCCCGUGCCAGGCGCGAUGCGACACAUCCAGAGCGACUGGUGCUUCCGAGCAGGGCCGGGCCGGGUUGUCGGUGGCAUCUCCCCAGCAGCGUUACAGAGAUUUUCCCAUGGCCGCGGGUGUGCCCCAGACAAACAGCUUGCAAGCCUUGCAGAACUUCUUCCUGUGCAGUCUGUGUUUGUGAGCUCAGGAGUAUUGCAACCCAUGGAACUCCA